UACGAAGGGGGCUAGCGUUGCUCGGAAUCACUGGGCGUAAAGGGUGCGUAGGCGGGUCUUUAAGUCAGGGGUGAAAUCCUGGAGCUCAACUCCAGAACUGCCUUUGAUACUGAAGAUCUUGAGUUCGGGAGAGGUGAGUGGAACUGCGAGUGUAGAGGUGGAAUUCGUAGAUAUUAGGAAGAACACCAGUGGCGAAGGCGGCUCACUGGUCCGGUACUGACGCUGAGGUGCGAAAGCGUGGGGAGCAAACAGG
RNAcentral lists this ribosomal RNA (253 nucleotides) under uncultured bacterium. RNAcentral's name for it is "partial 16S ribosomal RNA". It matches the Rfam family "Bacterial small subunit ribosomal RNA", at positions 524 to 776 of the family's 1533-position model. The record is from RNAcentral.